UAUAAACAAGAGAAAUCCACCAAAUAUCUUUUUUUAUUUAUUUAUUUUUUUAAUGGCUACAUUGAAGAGCCAUAGACCUUCAGUGUAAUACAUUGCUCCUGUUUAAUGUGCAUUAGUCUUGUUUGUCUCGUUCAUCUUUCUUAGUACUGUACUUGUUUGUACUGCACAUCUACUCGGAGUGUUGUUUCAAUAGCCCUUUCCCUGCAUUCACAGCUUCAUCUCCAGAGCUCUAGUCAGUCCUGCAAGGUUCAGAUCAGCUCAAUGAUUCUCCCUGUGUGGGACUGUGUCUCUGCAAGAGGAUUUCCACUGCUCAUGUCAUUAGGAUCUUGUUGCGACAUGAAUCUUGAAGUUAUUUAUAAUUCUGUGACAAGUACCGACAGCAGUGCUGUACUGUAUAUACGGUGGCUGGAAGAGGUGCUGAUCCAUUAGCCUUAUCUGUCCAUCCGUCCAGUGGUUUAGGUCGGCCAGGGUGUCCUCGGCUCACCGCGCACCAGCAACCCCUGCAGUCUGGCCAGGUGCCUGCGGGCUUGCCUGUAAGCUGCCCAGAGCUGCGUUGUCCUCCGACGCUUAUUGUGACAGUGCUCGGUAACACUACAUUAUAGAUCAUUCUCAUUAAGAAUCUGAAGAGUUUGAGACAGGAAUCCCCUCCUCUUUGCACCCAGUGAGUCAGGAGACUGCUUACCUACAUGCGCAGAUGAUUAGGCUUCCUGUGUGUGCCUGGAGUUUCUGUAUUUACUGCAGGUCUAGCACCCAAGCAAGCCGAGGACAACGUGCCCUUUACCAGCAUCCGGUAUGCCAACAGACCUGGACAUGCCCUUGAGAACGAAACAUGACAGAAUACAUGGAUGUGGAGUACAGGCAGCAGGCGGUGGUCCCUGUGAGCUCUGACUCUCACGGUGGUGAAGACGUGGCUGUAUUCGCCAGAGGCCCCAUGGCUCACCUGUUCCGUGGCGUGAAGGAGCAGAACUACAUCGCCCAUGUGAUGGUGUACGCGGACUGCAUCGAGCCCUACACUGAGUGCCCGAAG
Long non-coding RNA from Acipenser ruthenus (sterlet), 1027 nucleotides. RefSeq lists it as uncharacterized. The transcript has 3 exons. Lineage: Eukaryota; Metazoa; Chordata; Actinopteri; Acipenseriformes; Acipenseridae. The record is from RefSeq and is a predicted model, not a curated record.